GUAAGUACUAAUGGGAAUUUUAAUCGCAACCCUAUCAUUAAAUCGUAUCGCGUGAUCUCAGAGGACUAUCGAGAGCCGGUCGACGAACGGAUCUCAGAAAACGUGCGCCACGAUGCAGUCCGAUGCAGUCGCAGCAACCGUGGCUGACAGCAGCUGCAGCAGCUGGAACACAAAGCAGCCCGUUAGCCUGGUCCUUUCCUUCGCUUUGACAUGGAUGUGCGACGGACCUUAGCCCAAAAUUAACCCCAUUAUACGAAGUAAUGAGCGGAAUAUCGCGUUGUCAUGAACAUCAAAAGACUAAUAGAGAUGAAGCUCGAGCCGGGGAGGAGAGUGCACAGCUGCUGCCAAAUUAUGCCUUUGUCAUACCCGCUUGCUUGCAGAAUUCCUGUUGCUUGCAUUUCUUGGCAUGCACGCGAGUCUUUCCACGUCUACAGAAAGACGUCGACAACCGUCGAGGGUUGCAACCGAGUCGUUCUUGGAUGAGGAUGAUUGCGUGAACGAUGACGUCACCAGUAAGAGCGUAAGGGCCUACGAAUGUAUUCCUGUUCGAUCCAUCUGAAACGAGAAACCGCUCUACAGUACCUUUCCUACGUCGUUCAUGACGUCAUUGCACUGUAUUCCAUACCUUCCGCGCAUCGGGGUUAAUUUUGGAGUGGCGGUACUCAAUCGCGCGAUCUUCAUCGAGGGUGCCUUCCGUGAGACAGGUGUGCCCGCGGGAGGCACGUCAGGCAUGUUUCGUGCACUUUAAUGAGCAAAAUAGCACGCGCGGGGUAAAGACAACCCUAAUGCUAUUAAUGUCUCGGACGGUUUAUUUGCCAAUAAAGCGGCUAUUUCUAUACUUGCGGAAAUUCUGGAUGUUAGCGUUAAAGCAGCCGGAUGCAAGCAGAGUCAGACAAGGGUUGCAGUCACCUGCGUGGCUCUGUUAAAUCAGAAUUUUUAUUCCGAUUGGAAUAUUCAUGUAUAGUGUUACGUUCCUCUGUUGUUGAGCUGAAUCGACAAAGACAUGGGACACGGAUGAAUUAUGCGUCGCAAGAAUUCUCAUUAUCGUUCGUUAAUGGUGUAACAGUGCCAGAUCUCGAGCGCCGUCGAAUAUACACUGGAUAUUAAGGCUUUUCCGCAAUCUCUCGUCUGAAUGUGCAAUCAUGACAUCCAUAGACUACGCGCCGUUUCCUUUAUCGUAGAAAUUUCUUGCCAGCAUUCAACGGCGGAAUGGCUUUGCAGUACAAAAUCGUAACGCACUUCAUAGGACGCAUUAAUGGAAUCUAUGUUCACUAUGAGGGAGGAAAGGCGCCGCCAUGAGUGUAUACUUGAAUGGAACGUAAUAUCAGAGCGAAUUUUCGGUGAGAUCCGCCAGUUUGAAAAGGGAUAGAUAAAAGCCGGGCCCCCCGCGGAAUGACGUCGCGACGGAAUGAACGGGCCCACCGCGCCGGUGCGACAAAGAUGCCAAACGGUGGACGUGUCGAUGAAAAGAGAAGCGGAGAAAGCAAGAGGAAACGAGCGGCGGGGACGGGACUCUCAUCAUCCUCCGCUAAUAUUUACCCGUGCAGACACAAAGACCACCCUGGUCAACCUAAAGAACGAUCCCCCAUCCCCCGAGCGCUGAUAAAGAUAUAUGGAAGUCGUUCGCGUGCUUAAUUCCCGCGUACAAUACGUCGACGAUAUUCUUGUCGCGAUUUUCGCGAUUACGUUUCGCCAGGAUCGACGCCGAAACGGCGAUCUCAUCAUUUUUGAGAUUUUACAAGAGCCAAUGUCAAAAUGCAUAAAUAGAAAGUAAACGCUCAUAAAAGUAGAUCGGCUUUUUUUAGUUCCAUGUAUCUAAAUGAUGAACGCUUUUGCAUCGGAGUUCAAGAUCCCCUUAACAGCUCAUUAAUUAUAUUACAAAAAUUUCUCGUGUAGAAGACGAUUGAUCUUAUGCGUAUGAACGAUAUAAAAUUAUCUUGAUCACCGAAGAGCUUGAUUACUUCGCGGAAAUUGGAUUCCGAAAAUGUUCGAAAUGAGUAUUAUUAAUUUCAUUUGAUUUAUCAUAAAAGUUGUGUCUGAGAAAUUGCGGAAAUGGGAUAUUUCGCCGUUAAUGAGUUAAUUAUUGAGUUAUUAACUGUUGAUACUGCUACGUUUUAGAAGUAAGAGGCAAACGAAGGAAUGCGUUGCACGAUUGCGAGUUUUUCACUUUGAUGAACAUCCGCAUGGUUGCAAAAAUGCGAAACAAAAACAAAUAUGAACGUAGACCACUACAAGUUAGUAAUAUAUAUGUAUAUAUAUAUAUAUAUAUAUAUAUAUAUAUAUAUAUGUAGCCAAUCAAUCAGCCUUUUGAUUCUUUCAACGUUUACCUGUGUUUCAUAGAUACACGUAAAACUGUGCAACGUAAAACAAAUGUCAAAUUCGAGUUGCAAUACGCAAAUUAAAUGCUGCAUCGCUGGAAUUUUUGAGAUAUUUUGCGCAACCAAUACUUCAAAAUUCAAUUGAUCAGCGGCAAUACAGCUCUACAGAUACCGUGCCUUUCAACAAAGUAAGCUCGAUUUUCCGGAAAGCGCACUCGAUUCGAUGCACAAAUGCAUCUUCUCAGAAGAAAUCGAAUAUCACCAUGUAUGGCAUUGAGAGCUGUGGUUUUAGGUCAACCUGAUUCUCUUUUCGUAACAUGUUUGGCAAACAUCUUUUCGUGACCGAAAGCAUGAACAGCAGCGUACUUUUAAUCUAUGUAAUCAUAUUUAGAUAAUAUUUCUUCUAUGUAAUCAUAGUAGAUAACAUUUCUUGGGAUAAUAAAUCAAUAUAUCGGCGUAUAAGUAUCCCUUUAAAUUUCACGGAAUCAAAUAGGGAAGAUAAUCGCUGAUUUCAAAGAAGGACAUAGUUUAUCGAUCGUUUCCGCUAUUAAACAUCUUCCUUUAACGAUAACGUUGACAUUACAAUACUUGUACAAAAUUAUAAAUGAUUUCAUUAUAAUUCUCUUUCUCCUUAG
Long non-coding RNA from Ooceraea biroi (clonal raider ant), 2953 nucleotides. RefSeq lists it as uncharacterized. The record is from RefSeq and is a predicted model, not a curated record. Lineage: Eukaryota; Metazoa; Arthropoda; Insecta; Hymenoptera; Formicidae.